This 381-nucleotide ribosomal RNA is filed under the name Triticum aestivum (bread wheat). Its description in RNAcentral is "partial small subunit ribosomal RNA". Lineage: Eukaryota; Viridiplantae; Streptophyta; Magnoliopsida; Poales; Poaceae. The record is from RNAcentral.
AUGAGCGAUCUCGGCCUUCUAAGCUACUACUUGGGGAUUGAGGUGGUUCAGUCAGAGCGCUCAAUCACAUUGAGUCAGCGUGGUUAUGUAGAGAAAAUACUUGAGGUGGGUGGUAUGGCAGGGUGUAAUGGCUCUCACACACCAAUGGAGUGCAGACUCAAGUUGAGGAAGGAAGAUGGUGCAAAACCCUUUGAUCCCUCUCUCUGCCGCAGCGUCAUUGGGAGUUUGAGAUAUCUGACACACACCAGGCCUGACAUCACUUACUCAGUAGGCAUGGUGAGUAGGUUCAUGGAGAAGCCGACUGUGACACACUGGUUGGCAGUGAAGCAGAUCCUACUAUACAUUCAGACCACUCUCAAUUAUGGCUGCUACUACACUCGA